AGGCCUCCCUAACUUCCGGAUAGGCGCCAUAUUGGAAAAAACUGAUGUUACUCAAAGAGGUAAGUCGUCAAUUUGAAAUGUUGAAUUAAGAAAAUCGAGCAAACCAAUUUCAUAUUGAAUUAGUUUUUAUUGUACUGUGAGUUAAAAAUUUUGAUGUUAUCAUAUUUUUAUAAACAAAAUUAUUAUGGUUAUUGAGAAAAAGUUCAGCAUUGCCAAGAAUGUUGCGAAAACACAUGUCUGAUAAAACCAAGUCUUGGUUUUAUGAAUUUUUCACAAUUGCUCGUUUUUGGAUAAGAAAUUUCUUUAAAUUAAAGGUCCGAUACAAGUUUAAUAGGUUUUUGAAUGUUUAUAUUACAACCUCAUUGCAAAUCGGAUGCAAAUUAUGCAUUUUGACGCACAUGUCAUGCCGCUUCAUUGUUAUUCAAAUGAGCGACCAUAACCGGUUGUUUGUGUACUUUAACACACAUGGUCAUUUGUGGAUCAUUAAAAACGUAUAGGCAUUGUAUGGUUUGAAUAUUUCUAUUCAUCUGUAAUUUAAACUUUACUAACUUCAAUACAUUGUUACACCAAUAUAUGUACUUUGACAGAGAGUUGUGUCCUUGACAAUCAUAUGGUAUGCCAUCCUUAUCUUCUUAUUUAUAUUUAAAAUACACACAUACAUUGACAAUAUAUAAAAUUUUGUUUAAUGAUUUGAAUUCAAACACGUAUCAGUUUCAAUUCAAACAAGUAUCAGGUGUUGUUCAGUUUCAUUUCAUUUGACUUGAGUUGGGAGGACACAAAUUUUUUAAGAACAAUUACUCAAGCUUGAAAAUAUGGGGGGGGGGGACUAUAAGAAAUAUAUGAUUAGAUCAAUAAAGUUCCAAUAACUUCUUCGUCUCUCAUCCUUCUUGGUGUGACAAAGCUGUUUUUAUCAAUCUUUUUUUACACAUUGGUAUUCCACUCUUUUAUUGCAGAGCAUUUAUCCACAUGAAACCCAAACAAUAUAGGAAAAGGUUACAUAUCACCUAUGUAUCUGUAUUUGCAAUUUAUCAUUUUGCAAAACAAUAUAUAUCUCCAUCAUUCGUGAAGUUAUUUCAAUCUAAAUAUGCUACCCUACACUAUUAUAAUUAUUUAUGCUUUGAAUGAUCCAGUACUUUAAUAGUCAUGUCCAUAUUCAUAUUAUGCCUUCAUAUAAUUUCAGUCAGUGGAAAGACAUACAUGUAGAAUCAACAUCCUAGAUGAUUUUUCAAUUUAUAUACAGACUAUGAAAACACUGCUGUAGUUCUUUGAUUCUUUAAUAAGUUGUACAUGUUGUUGUGAUGUAACAAAUUACUUUUCAUAAACUACAUGUACAAAAUGAAUGAAAGAAGGUAAGAUAUUAAAGUUAGUCUCAAAUAGUUAUUUUUACUUGUGAGAAAGUUGCAUGUAAUAUUUCAUAGAAAAUGAUUCUUCUUCUUGUUAUUGACUUACAAAUGUAACUCAGUCUCAAAUGAAAUGAAAGUUCAAAGAUUUAAGAAUACAAACAAGUACAUGUGUGCAUAAACAAAUAUUAAAAUAUUAUUGUCUACAUGUGUAUACUCGGAUGUAUAUUAACAUUGCCAUGUAAAAUAUCAGAAUAUUUUUAUAGUAUACAGCUGUUGACCAUUUUUACAACACAGACUACAAAUUUUGUGGUCUCAGUGAAAUUAAGUCCUGUUUUUGCAGAUUUUUCCAUCUUUCAUACAUGUAGGUGUAAUUAAGAUUGAGCCAAACUGCAUGGAAAAAUGUACUGGAACAGUUUACUUUUAAAAUAUUGAUGUACUUUGUAAUGAGCACCAUAGGCUGAUCUAGGGGGCUGGGUGAAGACUGAACCCCUUUUGGUGGAAAAAAAUUGCUUAAUUAUAUAUGAAAUCACUGAAGCAUGACUGAGAGCAGUCCCCUUAGGUCAGUCAGAGUACAACAAGUUCUGGAUCUGUCACUGAGCAUCUACAUGUAUACCAAUCAAUAUAAAAUACCUGACACUCUAAAAUAAGAGAAUAAAACAACCACAAACUUUUGAAUAGUUUACAAUCAGGACAACAACAACAUUGACCUUCGUCAUUUUUGGGGUCAAGGUGACAGGGCUGCCACUUUUUAAGAACAAUGUCAUCAUUGAUUAUUUCAAUUACAUUUUUUUAGAUUGAAAUGCUUUUGUAAAAUUUAGUUACACAUUUAUGAUAAUUUGAUAAAGCUUAGAACAAUGUAAUAGUUUUGUUUUAAACUAUUUUUUAUACAUGUAUCUGCAAUAAAAUGAGAAGUGUUAUUGUCUUUAUAAGACAUUAAUAUAUAAGUCACAUUUAAAUUGUACUUUUAAAUUGCAUAUUGUAAUUUUUUUUCUUAUAUUGGAUUUGUUUUUCACUACAUGUAUAACAUUAUAAUUUCAGGUUAGAAUGCAAAACUGGUGAAGAUGAAGGUUAUAAUUGUGAUAUACAUAUUGAUUAAUUUGAAGCAGAUUUUGUUCUUAAGAGUGAAAUAAAAAAAAAACAGACGUGUGUUUUAGAAAGAUGUUCAACUAUUAACAAGACAACAAACAUAUUCAUUGUAUGACUGAGAGAGAAAUGAAUAUAAGU
This 2567-nucleotide long non-coding RNA is filed under the name Mytilus galloprovincialis (Mediterranean mussel). The record is from RNAcentral. Lineage: Eukaryota; Metazoa; Mollusca; Bivalvia; Mytilida; Mytilidae.